Camelus dromedarius (Arabian camel) is the source of this 497-nucleotide long non-coding RNA. RefSeq lists it as uncharacterized. The record is from RefSeq and is a predicted model, not a curated record. NCBI's taxonomy places the organism in Eukaryota, Metazoa, Chordata, Mammalia, Artiodactyla, Camelidae. The transcript is spliced from 2 exons.
UGCGUUUACACCCUGAGGAAGUGUUCAAAUUUAUCCUCAAAGUAACGGAAGCACCACGUGGGUCGGCUGGGUAGACACCAAGUCCUCCAAGCCAGGUUCCAGCUGCGGCGCUGCUGGCGGCAGCCAGCUUGCUUUCACGGCAUUCAAGCUUAAAGCUCCCGGUUCUCAGGAUCAAACCACCGCCUCUGAUGCCAAAGAGGUCCUGCAGGAAGCUGCCUUGAAUUAACGGCCCAAAGAGGACCAUGAGGCUUGAAAAGUGGGGAAGGUCAGGCGACAUCAUUUGUGGGGCCCAGUGCAAAAGGAGGAUGCAGCCCCUUUAUUUAAAAAAUUAUUACAAAUUUGAGGAAAGUAACAGCAGAUCAUCACGCCAACCCCCAGGAAGCCGGCAGUGCUGGCAGACAAGGGGUGAGACACGGAACAACACUUCCUUGAGAUCUCGGAAGCCUCAGCAUCUGGAGCUUCUUUAAGGCGGCUGCCUGCCCUUGGAGGUGCUGUAG